This 1968-nucleotide ribosomal RNA is filed under the name human gut metagenome. RNAcentral's name for it is "bacterial LSU rRNA". It matches the Rfam family "Bacterial large subunit ribosomal RNA", at positions 1 to 1983 of the family's 2925-position model. The record is from RNAcentral.
GUAAAUAAUAAAGGGCGUAUGGUGGAUGCCUAGGCUCUCAGAGGCGAAGAAGGACGUGAUAAGCUGCGAAAAGCUCCGUUUAGGUGCAAAUAACCUUUGAUGCGGAGAUCUCCGAAUGGGAUAACCCAAUAUGUUGAAGACAUAUUAUACCGUAAGGUAGGCAAACGCAGGGAACUGAAACAUCUAAGUACCUGCAGGAGAAGAAAACAAACGUGAUUCCCCCAGUAGCGGCGAGCGACCGGGGAAAAGCCCAAACCGUUAUUGUUUCGGCAUUAACGGGGUAGUAGGACUGCGACAUUGAUGAAAUAAAUGAAAUGGAACACCUUGGAAAAUGUGAUCACAGAGGGUGAUAAUCCCGUACAUGCAAGUUUAUGAAUCAUAGCAGACUCCUGAGUAAGUCGGGACACGUGUAAUCCUGACCGAAUCCGCCGGGACCAUCCGGCAAGGCUAAAUACUCCCGAGAGACCGAUAGUGAACCAGUACCGUGAGGGAAAGGUGAAAAGCACUUCGAACAGAAGAGUGAAAUAGUCCCUGAACCCAUACGCCUACAAGCUGUCGGAGCCGCUUCGUGCGGUGACGGCGUGCCUUUUGCAUAAUGAGCCUACGAGUUACUCAUCACCAGCGAGGUUAAGUACUUCAGGUACGUAAGCCGAAGCGAAAGCGAGUCUGAAUAGGGCGUCAAGUUGGUGGUGGUAGACGCGAAACCUUAGUGAUCUACCCAUGGGCAGGGUGAAGGUUUGGUAACACAAACUGGAGGCCCGAACCGGUAAACGUUGAAAAGUUUUCGGAUGACCUGUGGGUAGGGGUGAAAGGCCAAUCAAACUGGGAAAUAGCUCGUACUCUCCGAAAUGCAUUUAGGUGCAGCCUCUGUUGUUUUGUUCUAGAGGUAGAGCUACUGAUUGGAUGCGAGGGCUUCACCGCCUAUCAAAUCCGGCCAAACUCCGAAUGCUAGAACAUGAAGACAGGGAGUGAGCCAGCGGGUGCUAAGGUCCGUUGACGAAAGAGGGAGAACUCAGACCAUCAGCUAAGGUCCCCAAUUGUAUGCUAAGUUGGAAUUAAAACGGGGUGGGACUGCUUAGACAGCUAGGAUGUUGGCUUGGAAGCAGCCAUUCAUUUAAAGAGUGCGUAACAGCUCACUAGUCGAGCGGUCCUGCAUGGAUAAUACGCGGGCAUAAGCAUAUAACCGAAGCUAUGGGAUUGUAGAUGAUACAAUCGGUAGGAGAGCAUUCCAUUCAGCGUAGAAGCAGUAUCGUGAGGUAUUGUGGAGCGGAUGGAAAAGCAAAUGUAGGCAUAAGUAACGAUAAUGCGGGUGAGAACCCCGCACGCCGAAAGAUCAAGGAUUCCCCGGCAAUGUCAAUCAUCCGGGGGUAAGUCGGAUCCUAAGGGUAAGCCGAGUGGCGAUCCCGAUGGCAAACAGGUUAAUAUUCCUGUACUGAUCAUAACUGCGAUGCAGCGACGCAGAGGUGACACUGCUGCGUACUGACGGAAUAGUACGUUGAAACCCGUAUUCUUUGAUACCGGUAGUGAAGCACGCCGGUAGAGAUGAAAGGUGAUAGUACCGCAAUGCUUCGGUUGCGCGGAUAACGCAGGUAAGCUGACUGCCAAGAAAACCUGCUAAGCUUCAGGUAAUGAUCAUCCGUACUGUAAACGGACACACGUGAUCAGGUAGAAAAUACUAAGGCGCUCGAGAGAUUCAUGGUUAAGGAACUAGGCAAAAUGGUCCUGUAACUUCGGGAUAAAGGACGCUCUUGUGAAAGAGCCGCAGAUAAUAGGCCCAGGCGACUGUUUACCAAAAACACAUGGCUAUGCUAAUUCGCAAGAAGAUGUAUAUGGCCUGACACCUGCCCGGUGCCGGAAGGUUAAGAGGAGAGCUCAGAGGCAACUCGAAGGUUUGAAUUGAAGCCCCGGUAAACGGCGGCCGUAACUAUAACGGUCCUAAGGUAGCGAAAUUCCUUGUCGGGUAAGUUC